RNAcentral lists this ribosomal RNA (250 nucleotides) under uncultured Selenomonas sp. RNAcentral's name for it is "partial 16S ribosomal RNA". It matches the Rfam family "Bacterial small subunit ribosomal RNA", at positions 103 to 339 of the family's 1533-position model. Lineage: Bacteria; Bacillati; Bacillota; Negativicutes; Selenomonadales; Selenomonadaceae. The record is from RNAcentral.
CGGGUGAGUAACACGUAGACAACCUGCCGACAGGAUGGGGACAACAUUCCGAAAGGAAUGCUAAUACCGAAUGAAGCGGAGGAGAGGCAUCUCUCUUCCGUGAAAGAUGGCCUCUUUUUAUGCUAUCACCUGUCGAUGGGUCUGCGUCUGAUUAGCUGGUUGGUGAGGUAACGGCUCACCAAGGCGACGAUCAGUAGCCGGUCUGAGAGGAUGAACGGCCACAUUGGGACUGAGACACGGCCCAGACUCC